RNAcentral lists this ribosomal RNA (230 nucleotides) under uncultured bacterium. RNAcentral's name for it is "partial 16S ribosomal RNA". It matches the Rfam family "Bacterial small subunit ribosomal RNA", at positions 524 to 753 of the family's 1533-position model. The record is from RNAcentral.
UACGUAGGGUGCAAGCGUUAAUCGGAAUUACUGGGCGUAAAGCGUGCGCAGGCGGCUUUGCAAGACAGAUGUGAAAUCCCCGGGCUAACCUGGGAACUGCAUUUGUGACUGCAUGGCUGGAGUGCGGCAGAGGGGGAUGGAAUUCCGCGUGUAGCAGUGAAAUGCGUAGAUAUGCGGAGGAACACCGAUGGCGAAGGCAAUCCCCUGGGCCUGCACAUGACGCUCAUGCA